UGGGGAAUAUUGCACAAUGGAGGGAACUCUGAUGCAGCGACGCCGCGUGAACGAAGAAGGCUUUCGAGUCGUAAAGUUCUUUUAUAUGGGAAGAUAAUGACGGUACCAUAAGAAAAAGCCCCGGCUAACUACGUGCCAGCAGCCGCGGUAAUACGUAGGGGGCUAGCGUUGUCCGGAAUCACUGGGCGUAAAGGGUUCGCAGGCGGAAAUGCAAGUCAGGUGUAAAAGGCAGUAGCUUAACUACUGUAAGCAUUUGAAACUGCAUAUCUUGAGAAGAGUAGAGGUAAGUGGAAUUUUUAGUGUAGCGGUGAAAUGCGUAGAUAUUAAAAAGAAUACCGGUGGCGAAGACGGCUUACUGGGCUCAUUCUGACGCUGAGGAACGAAAGCGUGGGUAGCAAACAGG
Molecule: ribosomal RNA, 403 nt
Filed under: bacterium
Lineage: Bacteria
Description: partial 16S ribosomal RNA
Rfam family: Bacterial small subunit ribosomal RNA
Source: RNAcentral